CCUACGGGCGGCAGCAGUGAGGAAUAUUGGUCAAUGGGCGGAAGCCUGAACCAGCCAAGUCGCGUGCAGGAUGACGGCCCUACGGGUUGUAAACUGCUUUUAUACGGGAACAACGCGCCUUACGUGUAGGGCUUUGCAUGUACCGGGUGAAUAAGGACCGGCUAAUUCCGUGCCAGCAGCCGCGGUAAUACGGAAGGUCCGGGCGUUAUCCGGAUUUAUUGGGUUUAAAGGGGGCGUAGGCCGGAUGUCAAGCGUGCUGUGAAAUGUCCGGGCUCAACCCGGGCCGUGCGGCGCGAACUGGCGGGCUUGAGUGCGCGGAAGGCAGGCGGAAUUCGUGGUGUAGCGGUGAAAUGCUUAGAUAUGACGAAGAACCCCGAUUGCGAAGGCAGCUUGCUGCAGCGGAACUGACGCUGAUGCUCGAAAGCGCGGGUAUCGAACAGGAUUAGAUACCCGAGUAGUC
Molecule: ribosomal RNA, 460 nt
Filed under: uncultured bacterium
Lineage: Bacteria
Description: partial 16S ribosomal RNA
Rfam family: Bacterial small subunit ribosomal RNA
Source: RNAcentral